This 467-nucleotide ribosomal RNA is filed under the name uncultured bacterium. Its description in RNAcentral is "bacterial SSU rRNA". It matches the Rfam family "Bacterial small subunit ribosomal RNA", at positions 1 to 507 of the family's 1533-position model. The record is from RNAcentral.
ACACGACUACGAGUUUGAUCCUGGCUCAGAUUGAACGCUGGCGGCAGGCUUAACACAUGCAAGUCGAACGCUCGUAGCAAUACGGGAGUGGCGGACGGGUGAGUAACGCGUGGGAACGUGCCCUGAGGUACGGAAUAACUGCGGGAAACUGCAGCUAAUACCGUAUGAGCCCCGUGAGGGGGAAAGAUUUAUCGCCUUAGGAGCGGCCCGCGUCGGAUUAGCUAGUUGGUGGGGGUAAAGGCUCACCAAGCCGACGAUCUGUAGCUGGUCUGAGAGGACGACCAGCCACACUGGGACUGAGACACGGCCCAGACUCCUACGGGAGGCAGCAGUGGGGAAUUUUGGACAAUGGGCGCAAGCCUGAUCCAGCAACGCCGCGUGCAGGAUGAAGGCCUUCGGGUUGUAAAGCUCUUUUACCCGAGAUGAUAAUGACAGUAUCGGGAGAAUAAGCUCCGGCUAACUCCGUG